This is a non-coding RNA of Labrus bergylta (ballan wrasse), 224 nucleotides long. The record is from RefSeq and is a predicted model, not a curated record. NCBI's taxonomy places the organism in Eukaryota, Metazoa, Chordata, Actinopteri, Labriformes, Labridae.
CAGCGACGAAUGCCAAGUGUCACCUGCACACCAAAAACUCAGGGGGCAACUCCACUGGUGGCAAACAGAGAACUGGACUGUAUGGAAGCAGUUAAUAAUGAACGAGCUCUGAGACGGAGAAAAGUUAAGAUGACUAAGGACCCAUGACUGACUGAUUGUCUUUUCUUCAUUUCAUCUGAGACUCGACCAUCUUCUCAGAUUCCACCAUCAGAUGAUUUGAGAGC